GCAAGCGAGACAAGGGCGCAUGGGGGAUACCUGGGCUCUCAGAGGCGAGGAAGGACGCGGCAAGCUGCGAAAAUCGACGGGGAGCGGCACACACGCUUUGAUCCGUUGGUGUCCGAAUGGGGCAACCCGGCCGCCCAGUGGCGGUCAUCCUGUUUAUUCAGGAGGCGAACGGGGGGAACUGAAACAUCUAAGUACCCCCAGGAGAAGAAAACAAGAGUGAUUCCGCAAGUAGCGGCGAGCGAACGCGGAGCAGCCCAAACCGCCGGCGUCAAGGCGCGGGCGGGGUUGUAGGACCACCCGAGUGGGUGACGAUUCAAGCCGAAGCGCCUGGGAAGGCGCACCGCAGGGGGUGAGAGUCCCGUAGGCGUAGCGAUUGUCACCUGAGGUGGUAUCCUGAGUAGGGGGGGACCGGAGGAAUCCCCUCUGAAUCCGGCGGCACCAUCCGCCAAGGCUAAAUACUCCUGAGAGACCGAUAGUGGACGAGUACCGUGAGGGAAAGGUGAAAAGCACCGCGAACAGCGGGGUGAAACAGAACUUGAAACCAUGCGCCUACAAGCGGGCGGAGCCGGCUGUUUACAGUCCAGUGACGCCGUGCCUUUUGCAUAAUGAGCCUACGAGUCACGGUCGCCGGCGAGGUUAACCGCCAUGUAGGCGGGGAGCCGGAGCGAAAGCGAGUCCGAACAGGGCGCGCAGUCGGCGGCUGUGGACGCGAAACCCGGUGAUCUACCCUUGGCCAGGCUGAGCCGCUGGUAACACAGCGUGGAGGGCCGAACCGGUAAACGUUGAAAAGUUUUCGGAUGAGCCGAGGGUAGGGGUGAAAGGCCAAUCAAACCGGGAAAUAGCUCGUACUCCCCGAAAUGCCUUUAGGGGCAGCGUCGGGCAACGGCCGGCGGCAGGUAGAGCUACCGAUAGGGCUAGGGGGAGUCACAUCCUACCAACCCCUGACGAACUCCGAAUGGCCGCCGUUAGGCCCGGCAGUGAGGGCGCGGGUGCUAAGGUCCGCGUCCGAGAGGGGAACAACCCGGAGCACCGGCCAAGGUCCCCAAGUGUGCACUAAGUUGAGCUAAGGGGGUCCGACUGCAGAGACAGCCAGGAUGUUAGCUUGGAAGCAGCUACACAUUUAAAGAGUGCGUAACAGCCCACUGGUCGAGCGGGGCGGGCACCGAUAAUGAACGGGCAUCAAGUGCACCACCGAAGCCGUGCGGUAGUAAUUUAUUACGACCGGUAGGGGAGCAUUCCCAGGGGGGCGAAGGCGUGGCGCGAGCCACGCUGGACCGCUGGGAAAAGCAAAUGUAGGCAUGAGUAACGACAAUGCGCGCGCGAAACGCGCACACCGGAAGACCAAGGGUUCCCCCGCUAUGCUAAUCAACGGGGGGUCAGGCGGGGCCUAAGCGCCAGCCGAAGGGCGAAGCGCGAUGGACAGCAGGCCAACAUUCCUGCCCCGCCCGCAGUGCGAGCCGGUGACGGAGCGCGGUGGUCCUCACGUACCGACGGAAUGGUGCGUUGGAGCGGAGCCUUCGGGCGAGGCGAGAGGGCGGACGCGCUUCCAAGAAAAGCCGGCGAAGCGCCAGCUGCGGGCGGCCCGUACCGCAAACCGACACAGGUGGUCGGGAAGAGGAUUCCAAGGUGCUCGAGUGAAUCACGGCUAAGGAACUCGGCAAAUUGACCCUGUAACUUCGGGAUAAGGGGGGCCUACUCUGAGAGGAGAGGCCGCAGAGAAACGGCCCAGGCGACUGUUUAGCAAAAACACAGGGCUCUGCCAAGGCGAGAGCCGACGUAUAGGGCCUGACACCUGCCCGGUGCCGGAAGGUUAAGAGGGGAUGUCAGCCGCGAGGCGAAGCAUUGAAUCGAAGCCCCGGUAAACGGCGGCCGUAACUAUAACGGUCCUAAGGUAGCGAAAUUCCUUGUCGGGUAAGUUCCGACCUGCACGAAUGGUGUAACGAUCUGGGCACUGUCUCAGCCGUGAGCUCGGUGAAAUUGUAGUGGCGGUGAAGAUGCCGCCUACCCGCCACGGGACGGAAAGACCCCGUGCACCUUUACUGCAGCUUUGCGUUGGUCUUGGGUCAGCGGUGUGUAGGAUAGGCGGGAGGCAGCGAAGCGGCGUCGCCAGGCGCCGUGGAGCCAACCUUGAAAUACCGCCCUCCGCUGUCCCGGGUCCUAACCCGGUUCAACCGGGGACCGCGCAUGGCGGGCAGUUUGACUGGGGUGGUCGCCUCCGAAAGGGUAACGGAGGCUUCCAAAGGUCGGCUCAGCACGCUUGGUAACCGUGCGGGGAGUGCAAUGGCACAAGCCGGCUUGACUGCCAGGCCGACGGGCCGCGCAGGUGGGAAACCAGGGCAUAGUGAUCCGGUGGUCCCGCAUGGAAGGGCCAUCGCUCAAAGGAUAAAAGGUACGCCGGGGAUAACAGGCUGAUCUCCCCCAAGAGCUCACAUCGACGGGGAGGUUUGGCACCUCGAUGUCGGCUCGUCACAUCCUGGGGCUGGAGAAGGUCCCAAGGGUUCGGCUGUUCGCCGAUUAAAGUGGCACGCGAGCUGGGUUCAGAACGUCGUGAGACAGUUCGGUCCCUAUCUGUGGUGGGCGCAGGAGGACUGAGGGGGGCUGCCCUUAGUACGAGAGGACCGGGGUGGACCCACCGCUGGUGAGCCGGCUGUCCCGCCAGGGGCACGGCCGGGUAGCCACGUGGGGAGCGGAUAAGCGCUGAAGGCAUCUAAGUGCGAAACCGGCCCCGAGAUGAGUCCUCCCGAUAGCAGGGCCGUCGUAGACGACGACGUCGAUAGGCCGCAGGUGCACGCGCCGAGAAGCGCUCAGCCGAGCGGUACUAAUCGCCCGAGGGCUUGCGGC
Molecule: ribosomal RNA, 2841 nt
Filed under: Salmonirosea aquatica
Lineage: Bacteria; Pseudomonadati; Bacteroidota; Cytophagia; Cytophagales; Spirosomataceae
Description: 23S ribosomal RNA
Rfam family: Bacterial large subunit ribosomal RNA
Source: RNAcentral